RNAcentral lists this ribosomal RNA (399 nucleotides) under uncultured bacterium. RNAcentral's name for it is "bacterial SSU rRNA". It matches the Rfam family "Bacterial small subunit ribosomal RNA", at positions 30 to 429 of the family's 1533-position model. The record is from RNAcentral.
AUUGAACGCUGGCGGCAUGCCUUACACAUGCAAGUCGAACGGCAGCACGGGAACUUGCUCCUGGUGGCGAGUGGCGAACGGGUGAGUAAUACAUCGGAACGUACCCUGAAGUGGGGGAUAACGUAGCGAAAGUUACGCUAAUACCGCAUAUUCUGUGAGCAGGAAAGAGGGGGAUCGCAAGACCUCUUGCUUUAGGAGCGGCCGAUGUCGGAUUAGCUAGUUGGUGAGGUAAAGGCUCACCAAGGCGACGAUCCGUAGCGGGUCUGAGAGGAUGAUCCGCCACACUGGGACUGAGACACGGCCCAGACUCCUACGGGAGGCAGCAGUGGGGAAUUUUGGACAAUGGGCGCAAGCCUGAUCCAGCCAUGCCGCGUGAGUGAAGAAGGCCUCGGUUGUAAG